UACGUAGGGCGCAAGCGUUGUCCGGAAUCACUGGGCGUAAAGCGCACGUAGGCGGACUCUUAAGUCAGGGGUGAAAUCCUGGAGCUCAACUCCAGAACUGCCUUUGAUACUGAGAGCCUUGAGUUCGGGAGAGGUGAGUGGAACUGCGAGUGUAGAGGUGAAAUUCGUAGAUAUUCGCAAGAACACCAGUGGCGAAGGCGGCUCACUGGACCGGUAUUGACGCUGAGGUGCGAAAGCGUGGGGAGCAAACAGG
This 253-nucleotide ribosomal RNA is filed under the name uncultured bacterium. RNAcentral's name for it is "partial 16S ribosomal RNA". It matches the Rfam family "Bacterial small subunit ribosomal RNA", at positions 524 to 776 of the family's 1533-position model. The record is from RNAcentral.